This is a small nuclear RNA of Pelodiscus sinensis (Chinese soft-shelled turtle), 106 nucleotides long. Lineage: Eukaryota; Metazoa; Chordata; Testudines; Trionychidae. The record is from Ensembl.
GUUCUCAAAACUUAGCACACAUGGUUUAACUGGAAUGAUACAGAGAAGAUUAGCAUGACCUCUGUGCAAGGAUAACAAGCAAAUCUGUGACAUGUUUCCCAAGCUU